GAUGAACGCUGGCGGCGUGCUUAACACAUGCAAGUCGAACGGAAAGGCCCAAGCUUGCUUGGGUACUCGAGUGGCGAACGGGUGAGUAACACGUGGGUGAUCUGCCCUGCACUUCGGGAUAAGCCUGGGAAACUGGGUCUAAUACCGGAUAGGACGAUGGUUUGGAUGCCAUUGUGGAAAGUUUUUUCGGUGUGGGAUGAGCUCGCGGCCUAUCAGCUUGUUGGUGGGGUAAUGGCCUACCAAGGCGUCGACGGGUAGCCGGCCUGAGAGGGUGUACGGCCAGAUUGGGACUGAGAUACGGCCCAGACUCCUACGGGAGGCAGCAGUGGGGAAUAUUGCACAAUGGGAGAAAGCCUGAUGCAGCGACGCCGCGUGGGGGAUGACGGCCUUCGGGUUGUAAACUCCUUUCGCUAGGGACGAAGCGUUUUUGUGACGGUACCUGGAGAAGAAGCACCGGCUAACUACGUG
This 468-nucleotide ribosomal RNA is filed under the name uncultured bacterium. RNAcentral describes it as "partial 16S ribosomal RNA". It matches the Rfam family "Bacterial small subunit ribosomal RNA", at positions 28 to 507 of the family's 1533-position model. The record is from RNAcentral.